ACUAAAAAUCAUGUUACAAGUUUAUUUAAUGGUUAGUACAAAGUUCAAGUUUAAAUCAGCCCAAUAAGAAUGGCCAAGCAAUAACAUUCGACUUUUGUCCCUGACGGCAAGCUUUAUCUCUCCCUCCCUAUUUCGAUCUCUCUGUCUAAUAUAUGUUACCGUUUAUUCCAAGUUUGAUUCCAAUUCCUCCAUUUUUCAAUCGAAUCGAUCGUAUCUCUUUCUCCCUCUCUCUCGAUCUCUCCACCCAAUAUGUAUUUUUGUUUUCAAUUCAAUUUGAGUUCCACCAUUUUUCAAAUCAAUCGAAUCGAUCGAAUCCGAUAAGCAUGGGCGACCUUCUCAACAUCGAUUCUCUGGAGCUCGAGUUCCCCUUUGAAUUUCUUUUGCAUACAUCAUUAGUUCUUGAACGCUUGAGAUUUCUACGAAUCCAAUGAUCUAUUGCAACACCAACUGCACAAGUUCUUGUUGAUGUAUCGAGCGUUCGAAAAUCAAAAGCGAGUUGUGUUUGCCAGUUUCUUCAGGUGCUGAAUGAUUCCGUUAAGGCGAAGUUCAUCGAAGAGCAUCCAGAGAGGUCAACCCAUCCUUCUUUUCUCAGUUUACAUGUAGUCACUCAGUGAGAAUGAGAAGAACGAAUUCACCAACCUCUUCUCUUGCUACGUAAGGUAAAUUGAAUUGAAUCGAAUCGAAUUUUCUUGUUUUUAUUAUAUUUCUCUGUUUGGUUGAUGAGAAAAUGAUGAAAAAAUUGGUACUGAAAUCUGUGUGAAUUUGUGUAUCUUGGAUUGGCACUUUGAUGGAAUUUGAUAUGACAAUGCAUGUUGUAGUGGAAGAGAAGCACAUGCUCAAAGAGGAAGGGGAAGGAAUCGCAUGUCCGUUGGAUGGUAGUAGGUUGCUUUGCAAUUUCAAAGACUAACUGUGUUCUUUUGUGCAUCACGUGGAGUUUCAUGUUCAAGUACACACUUGUGUAUAUCAUUGAGCCAUUUAGGCAAUUCAUUAGGUUUUAAGAGAGAAAUCAAUCUCUUGGAGGGCGAAUUAUGAAAACCCAUUUUAUACAUUUCUGUAAAACAUGUUUUAGUCUGACCUUGAUUCAGGUAGCAGGUCGACUGAAGAGUCAUCAACCAUUCAUGUGGGUGAAAUUUUGAUUGGGUUGAAGCCCUUGUACACAAUCCUAUAUUAAUAGGGAACAUAAUAUCGAUAAACAUUGAAAGUUAAUCGAUUUUUUUUAA
Malus domestica (apple) is the source of this 1220-nucleotide non-coding RNA. Lineage: Eukaryota; Viridiplantae; Streptophyta; Magnoliopsida; Rosales; Rosaceae. The record is from RefSeq and is a predicted model, not a curated record.